CCAUGACCUCAGAUCAGACGUGGAAACCCGCUGAAUUUAAGCAUAUUCCUAAGCAUAGGAAAAGAAACAAAACUGUAUUCCCUCAGUAACAUCGAGCGAAAGGGAAGAGCCCAGCACUGAAUCCUCGUCCAAUUGGAGCCACAGAAAUGUGCAUACAGAGGACUGUAUCCCGGGCAUCGCUCAGGGGGCCCAAGUCCUUCUGAUUGAAGAUCACCCUCAAACACUGGGAUCGUGUCUUGUUGGACUGCUCUUGUUGGGAAUGUUGCCCAAAGCAGGUGGUAAACUCCAACUAAGGCUAAAUACUGCAGCGAAUUCGAUAGCCAAAAAGUGCCACAAUUCAAAGUUGAAAAGAACUUUGAAGAGUGAGUUCAAGAUGGUGUGAAACUGUUGAAAGGUAAACAAGCAGGGUCCUUGCAGUCUGCCUGGACAAUUCAACAUGGCAGGCAGGUUGGUUGCCCAGAGCAGCGAGUCCCUUCGGAGGACAUCUGCCCGGGGGAACCCAACCCCUUCAGAGCACAUUUCCUCUGUGUCAGUGCACUGGAGCAGCCCCUGGGUCGGCACAGAAGGCCCACUGGUGCAGGAGGUUCUCUGCUCUGGCAGAGAAUGUUACAGACAUGUUAUGGGUCUGAGGAAGAUGGACUGCCGCUGUUCCCUCCUCUGAGAACUGUCCCAGCCAUUCUCUGAGGAUGCAGGGGCAGCGACAGGGGAUGAGGCCCCCUGCUCCCUGUGAGACUGUCGACCGGGGUGGACUGUCCUCAGUCGUCCCCCCCGACCGCAUCGCACUGCUAUGUGGAAAGGCCCACAAAGGGAGCAAAGGUACUGUGGAGAUGUCAGUUACCCAGCUGAAUCAUCUUGAAACACGGACCAAGGAGUUUAACACCUGCACAAGUCGGACGGGCCGAACAAAACCCUGUGGCGCAAUGUAGGUGAAGGCCAGCGCGGGCUGGCUGAGGUGGGAUCCUUUUUGCACCAUCUCGGCGGUGCAGCACAAGCCUCUCUUGUGCUCUCUUUGGGGAGUUGGCGCAUGAGCGUGGUUUAUAGGGCCCGAAAGAUGGUGAACUAUACCUGGGCACGGCAAAGCCAAACAACAUUUUUGUGGAAGUCGGAUCAGUCCUGACGUGCAAAAUCAGUAGUCCGACCUGAGUAUAGGGGUGAAAGACUAAUCAAACCAUCUAGUAGCUCAUUCCCUCUGAAGUUUCCCCCAUGAUAGCUGGCACUCGAACCCCCAGUUUUAUUUGGUAAAGUGAAUGAUUGGAGGUCUUGUGGCCGAAACUAACUCAACCUAUUCUCAAAUUUUAAAUGGGUAAGAAGCCCGGGUCACUGGUUUAAAGCUGCCCAUCUAAUGCCAAUUUUCCUUAUAAGAACUGGUGGUUCAGGAUGAACCGAAUGCCGGGUUAAGGCGCCCGAUGCUGACGCUUAUCAGAACCCACAAAAGGUAUUGGUUGAUAUAGAUAGCAAGACAGUGGCCAUAGAAGUCGGAAUCUUCAGUGUAACAACUCACCUGACGAAUCAACUAGCCCUGAAAAUGGAUGGUGCCAGAGAAUCAGGCCCAAACCCGGCCGUCACUGGCACUGAGAGUCGCGGGGGCUAAGACAUGAUGAGUAGAAGGGUCGCUGCGGUGUGCACAGAAACCCUGUGCAAGGGUAUGGAUGGAGCCACCACAUGUACAGAUCUUGGUGGUAGUAGGAAAUAUUCAAAUGAGAACUUUGAAUGUUGAAGUGGAGAAAGGUUCCAUGUGAACAGCAGUUGAACAUUGGUCAGAUGGUCCUAAAAUAUGGACGAGCACUGUUCGGAAGGGAUGGGCAAUGGCCUGUGCUGUGCUCAUUCAAUCGAAAGGGUGUCUGGUUCAUGUCCCCGAACCCAGAGUGGAGAAGAUGGGCACCCUUGUGUCAUCCAGUGCGGUAAUGCAAAUGAUCCUGGAAAUCUGGGAAGGAGCACCAGGGAGGGUUCUCUUUUCUUUGUGAAGGGCAGCGUACCCUAAAAUUGGUUCAUCCCAAGAAAGGGUCCUGAGCCGUGAAGGAAUCCAGUGAGCUCUCGCUGGCCCUUGAAAAUCCGUAGAGAUGGUAUACAUCUCAUACCGGGCUUACACAUUUCUGCAGGAGAUCUGCAAUGUGAACAGCCUCUGGCAUGUUGGAACAAUGUACGUAAGUGAAGCAGGCAAGUCAGAUCUGUAACUUUGGGAUAAGGAUUGGCUCUAAGUGCUGGCACAGUCAGUUUGCCGUGCGGAGCGAGGCUGUGUGCACGCCCAUCUGCAGAGGUCGCCUCUCUCCAUUACCUUCCCAGGUUUCAGGAUCGCCGUUCCGCCUCGGCCAACACCUACCAGCUGACUUAGAACUGGUGGGACCAGGGAAAAUCAACAGUUUAAGUAAAUCAAAGCUACUAUCUAGCGAAACCACAGCCAAGAGACUAGGCUUGCAGACUCAGCAGAGAGAGAAGACCCAGUCAAGCUUGACUCUAGUCUGUCUCUCUGAAGAGACAUGAAAGGUGUAGGAUAAGUCAGAGGUCCUUGGGGAACCCAUGAAAUACCACUAUUCUUAUCAUGUUUUCACUUACCUGGUAAGGCAGGGGGAAGCCCCAUGCAGCUCUUGCUUCUGGUUCCAAGCACCCGGCACCCACUGAUGUGCGGCCCGGUCUGGGGAAAGUGGCAGGUGGGGAGUGUUAAUAGGGUGGUACACCUGUAGAAUGGUAAUGCAUGUGUACUAAGGUGAACUCAGGGAGUAUACAAACCUCCUAUGUAGAAGAUAGCCAAAAAUCGCUUUAUCUUGAUUUUCAGUAUGAAUACAGACUGUGAAAUAAGUUCCUCAUGAUCCUUCUGACUUUUUGGCAUUCAAUCAGGAGUUGUCAAGAAGUUGCCACAUGGAUAGCUGGCUUGUGGCAGCCAAGCAUUCAUAGCAACGCCACUUUUUGAUCCUUCAAUGUCGGCUCUUCCUUACAUUGUGAAGCAGGAUUCACCAAUCAUUGGAUUGUUGGAUUGUUACCCAUCUAAUAAGGAAUGUGGGUCGGGUUUAGACUGUCGUGAGACAAGUUGGUUUACCAUACUGUUGAUUUGUUGUUGCAAUAGUAAUUCUACUCAGUGCGAGAGGGACUGCAGGUUCAGACAUCUGGUGUAUGUGCUUGGGUGAUGAGCCAAUGGGGUGAAGCUAUGAUCUGUGGAAUUGUGA
Molecule: ribosomal RNA, 3161 nt
Filed under: Ambystoma mexicanum (axolotl)
Lineage: Eukaryota; Metazoa; Chordata; Amphibia; Caudata; Ambystomatidae
Description: eukaryotic LSU rRNA
Rfam family: Eukaryotic large subunit ribosomal RNA
Source: RNAcentral